Molecule: ribosomal RNA, 246 nt
Filed under: uncultured bacterium
Lineage: Bacteria
Description: partial 16S ribosomal RNA
Rfam family: Bacterial small subunit ribosomal RNA
Source: RNAcentral
UGCGUAACGCGUAUGCAACCUACCAUCAACAGGGGGAUAACACUGAGAAAUUGGUACUAAUACCCCAUAAUAUCUCAUGCGGCAUCGCAUGGGGUUGAAAACUCCGGUGGUUGAUGAUGGGCAUGCGUUGUAUUAGCUGGUUGGUGAGGUAACGGCUCACCAAGGCGACGAUACAUAGGGGGACUGAGAGGUUAACCCCCCACAUUGGUACUGAGACACGGACCAAACUCCUACGGAAGGCAGCAG